GGUCUUGGAAUAAGGGGUGGGUAAGGACGGUGCCAGCCGCCGCGGUAAUACCGGCGCCUCAAGUGGUAGUCGCUUUUAUUGGGCCUAAAACGUCCGUAGCCGGUCUGAUACAUUCGUGGGUAAAUCAACCAGCUCAACUGGUUGAAUUCUGCGAGGACGGCCAGACUUGGGACCGGGAGAGGUGUGGGGUACGCUCAGGGUAGGGGUAAAAUCCUGUCAUCCUGAGCGGACCACCUGUUGCGAAGGCGCCACACUAGAACGGAUCCGACGGUCAGGGACGAAGCCUAGGGGCACGAACCGGAUUAGAUACCCGGGUAGUCCUAGGUGUAAACGCUGUGGACUUGAUGUUGGGGGUGCUCCGAGCACUCUCAGUGUCGAAGCGAAGGUGAUAAGUCCACUGCCUGGGAAGUACGGUC
Molecule: ribosomal RNA, 416 nt
Filed under: uncultured archaeon
Lineage: Archaea
Description: bacterial SSU rRNA
Rfam family: Archaeal small subunit ribosomal RNA
Source: RNAcentral